RNAcentral lists this long non-coding RNA (228 nucleotides) under Setaria italica (foxtail millet). Its description in RNAcentral is "long non-coding RNA (SITA_LNC001289)". Lineage: Eukaryota; Viridiplantae; Streptophyta; Magnoliopsida; Poales; Poaceae. The record is from RNAcentral.
GGAGAGAGAGGGAAGGAGGAGCGGAUAAUUAAGGAGGCGGGGGAGAGAGGAAGAUAGGAGGGUGGUGGAGAGAGGAUAAGGUUGGGAGCUCCUGUAGUACCGGUUGGGAGCUGCAACCAGUACUAAAGGUUACCCAUUAGUACCGGGUGGAGCCUCCUCUUGGUACUAAUCUGCCUAUACCGGGUGAAGCCUCUAGCCGAUACUAAUGUGUGACCUUUAGGACCUGUU